Molecule: ribosomal RNA, 830 nt
Filed under: uncultured bacterium
Lineage: Bacteria
Description: bacterial SSU rRNA
Rfam family: Bacterial small subunit ribosomal RNA
Source: RNAcentral
AGAGUUUGAUCCUGGCUCAGAACGAACGCUGGCGGCGUGCCUAACACAUGCAAGUCGAGCGUGAAAGUCCCUUCGGGGGCGAGUAAAGCGGCAGACGGGUGAGUAAUACAUAGGUAAUCUACCUUCGAGAUUGGGAUAACCCUGCGAAAGUGGGGCUAAUACCGGAUAAGACCACACGGCUCAAGUCGCGUGGUAGAAGGUGGCUUAUUUUUUAAAUGAGCUAUCACUUGAGGAUGAGCCUAUGGCCUAUCAGCUUGUUGGUGAGGUAAGAGCUCACCAAGGCUAUGACGGGUAGCUGGUCUGAGAGGACGACCAGCCACACUGGGACCGAGACACGGCCCAGACUCCUACGGGAGGCAGCAGUGGGGAAUAUUGGGCAAUGGGCGAAAGCCUGACCCAGCGACGCCGCGUGGGCGAUGAAGGCCUUCGGGUUGUAAAGCCCUGUCAUGUGGAAAGAACAGUUCCGUGGUGAAUAUCCACGGGAUUUGACGGUACCACAGGAGGAAGCACCGGCUAACUCCGUGCCAGCAGCCGCGGUAAUACGGAGGGUGCAAGCGUUGUUCGGAAUUAUUGGGCGUAAAGGGCGCGUAGGCGGUUGUGAAAGUCAGAUGUGAAAUACUUCGGCUCAACUGAAGAACUGCAUCUGAAACUUCAUAACUCGAGUACAGGAGAGGGAAACGGAAUUCCCGGUGUAGAGGUGAAAUUCGUAGAUAUCGGGAGGAACACCAGUGGCGAAGGCGGUUUCCUGGCCUGAUACUGACGCUGAGGCGCGAAAGCGUGGGGAGCAAACAGGAUUAGAUACCCUGGUAGUCCACGCUGUAAACGGUGAA